AACGAACGCUGGCGGCAUGCCUAACACAUGCAAGUCGAACGAGACCUUCGGGUCUAGUGGCGCACGGGUGCGUAACACGUGGGAAUCUGCCCUUUGCUUCGGAAUAACAGUUAGAAAUGACUGCUAAUACCGGAUGAUGUCGAAAGACCAAAGAUUUAUCGGCAAAGGAUGAGCCCGCGUAGGAUUAGGUAGUUGGUGGGGUAAAGGCCUACCAAGCCGACGAUCCUUAGCUGGUCUGAGAGGAUGAUCAGCCACACUGGGACUGAGACACGGCCCAGACUCCUACGGGAGGCAGCAGUGGGGAAUAUUGGACAAUGGGCGAAAGCCUGAUCCAGCAAUGCCGCGUGAGUGAUGAAGGCCUUAGGGUUGUAAAGCUCUUUUACCAGGGAUGAUAAUGACAGUACCUGGAUAAUAAGCUCCGGCUAACUCCGUG
Molecule: ribosomal RNA, 433 nt
Filed under: uncultured bacterium
Lineage: Bacteria
Description: partial 16S ribosomal RNA
Rfam family: Bacterial small subunit ribosomal RNA
Source: RNAcentral